Molecule: ribosomal RNA, 468 nt
Filed under: uncultured bacterium
Lineage: Bacteria
Description: bacterial SSU rRNA
Rfam family: Bacterial small subunit ribosomal RNA
Source: RNAcentral
UAGAGUUUGAUCAUGGCUCAGAUUGAACGCUGGCGGCAGGCCUAACACAUGCAAGUCGAGCGGUAGCACANGAGAGCUUGCUCUCUGGGUGACGAGCGGCGGACGGGUGAGUAAUGUCUGGGAAACUGCCUGAUGGAGGGGGAUAACUACUGGAAACGGUAGCUAAUACCGCAUAACGUCUUCGGACCAAAGUGGGGGACCUUCGGGCCUCACGCCAUCAGAUGUGCCCAGAUGGGAUUAGCUAGUAGGUGGGGUAAUGGCUCACCUAGGCGACGAUCCCUAGCUGGUCUGAGAGGAUGACCAGCCACACUGGAACUGAGACACGGUCCAGACUCCUACGGGAGGCAGCAGUGGGGAAUAUUGCACAAUGGGCGCAAGCCUGAUGCAGCCAUGCCGCGUGUGUGAAGAAGGCCUUCGGGUUGUAAAGCACUUUCAGCGAGGAGGAAGGGUUCAGUGUUAAUAGCACUG